UACGUAGGGUGCGAGCGUUAAUCGGAAUUACUGGGCGUAAAGCGUGCGCAGGCGGCGCGUUAAGACAGGUGUGAAAGCCCCGAGCUUAACUUGGGAAUUGCGCUUGUGACUGGCGUGCUGGAGUGUGGCAGAGGGAGGUGGAAUUCCACGUGUAGCAGUGAAAUGCGUAGAGAUGUGGAGGAACACCCGUGGCGAAGGCAGCUCUCUGGGACGGUACUGACGCUGAGACGCGAAAGCGUGGGGAGCAAACAGG
Molecule: ribosomal RNA, 253 nt
Filed under: uncultured bacterium
Lineage: Bacteria
Description: partial 16S ribosomal RNA
Rfam family: Bacterial small subunit ribosomal RNA
Source: RNAcentral